Molecule: transfer RNA, 77 nt
Filed under: Gammaproteobacteria bacterium RIFCSPHIGHO2_12_FULL_38_11
Lineage: Bacteria; Pseudomonadati; Pseudomonadota; Gammaproteobacteria
Description: tRNA-Met
Rfam family: tRNA
About the family: Transfer RNA (tRNA) molecules are approximately 80 nucleotides in length. Their secondary structure includes four short double-helical elements and three loops (D, anti-codon, and T loops).
Source: RNAcentral
GGGCUCAUAGCUCAGUUGGUUAGAGCAGAGGACUCAUAAUCCUUUGGUCCUAGGUUCAAGUCCUAGUGGGCCCACCA